Molecule: ribosomal RNA, 253 nt
Filed under: uncultured bacterium
Lineage: Bacteria
Description: partial 16S ribosomal RNA
Rfam family: Bacterial small subunit ribosomal RNA
Source: RNAcentral
UACGGGGGGGGCAAGCGUUGUUCGGAAUUACUGGGCGUAAAGGGCGCGUAGGCGGUUCGUUAAGUCCUGUGUGAAAUCCCCCGGCUCAACUGGGGAACUGCACAGGAAACUAGCGGGCUUGAGUUCGGGAGAGGGAAGCGGAAUUCCGGGUGUAGCGGUGAAAUGCGUAGAUAUCCGGAGGAACACCGGUGGCGAAGGCGGCUUCCUGGACCGACACUGACGCUGAGGCGCGAAAGCUAGGGGAGCAAACAGG